RNAcentral lists this ribosomal RNA (467 nucleotides) under uncultured bacterium. RNAcentral describes it as "partial 16S ribosomal RNA". It matches the Rfam family "Bacterial small subunit ribosomal RNA", at positions 28 to 507 of the family's 1533-position model. The record is from RNAcentral.
GACGAACGCUGGCGGCGUGCUUAACACAUGCAAGUCGAACGGAAAGGCCUCUUUCGGGGGUUACUCGAGUGGCGAACGGGUGAGUAACACGUGAGUAACCUGCCCUUGACUUUGGGAUAACUUCAGGAAACUGGGGCUAAUACCGGAUAGGAGCUCCUGCUGCAUGGUGGGGGUUGGAAAGUUUCGGCGGUUGGGGAUGGACUCGCGGCUUAUCAGCUUGUUGGUGGGGUAGUGGCUUACCAAGGCUUUGACGGGUAGCCGGCCUGAGAGGGUGAACGGCCACAUUGGGACUGAGAUACGGCCCAGACUCCUACGGGAGGCAGCAGUGGGGAAUAUUGCACAAUGGGUGGAAGCCUGAUGCAGCAACGCCGUGUGCGGGAUGACGGCCUUCGGGUUGUAAACCGCUUUCGCUCAUGACGAAGCUUUGUGUGACGGUAGUGGGUAAAGAAGCACCGGCUAACUACGUG